AACGAACGCUGGCGGCAUGCCUAACACAUGCAAGUCGAACGAGACCUUCGGGUCUAGUGGCGCACGGGUGCGUAACGCGUGGGAACCUGCCCUUAGGUUCGGAAUAACUCCCCGAAAGGGGUGCUAAUACCGGAUAAUGUCUUCGGACCAAAGAUUUAUCGCCUUUGGAUGGGCCCGCGUUGGAUUAGCUAGUUGGUAGGGUAAAAGCCUACCAAGGCGACGAUCCAUAGCUGGUCUGAGAGGAUGAUCAGCCACACUGGGACUGAGACACGGCCCAGACUCCUACGGGAGGCAGCAGUGGGGAAUAUUGGACAAUGGGCGAAAGCCUGAUCCAGCAAUGCCGCGUGAGUGAUGGAGGCCUCAGGGUUGUAAAGCUCUUUUACCCGGGAUGAUAAUGACAGUACCGGGAGAAUAAGCUCCGGCUAACUCCGUG
RNAcentral lists this ribosomal RNA (433 nucleotides) under uncultured bacterium. RNAcentral's name for it is "partial 16S ribosomal RNA". It matches the Rfam family "Bacterial small subunit ribosomal RNA", at positions 29 to 507 of the family's 1533-position model. The record is from RNAcentral.